This is a non-coding RNA of Podarcis lilfordi (Lilford's wall lizard), 71 nucleotides long. The record is from the annotation of a GenBank genome assembly. NCBI's taxonomy places the organism in Eukaryota, Metazoa, Chordata, Lepidosauria, Squamata, Lacertidae.
GGCUAUGGCUUAAUGGUAGAACAUCUGCUUUCCAUGCAGAAGGUCCCUGGUUCGAUCUCCGGGUAGGGUUG